Molecule: ribosomal RNA, 440 nt
Filed under: uncultured bacterium
Lineage: Bacteria
Description: bacterial SSU rRNA
Rfam family: Bacterial small subunit ribosomal RNA
Source: RNAcentral
CCUACGGGGGGCUGCAGUGGGGGAUAUUGCACAAUGGAGGAAACUCUGAUGCAGCAACGCCGCGUGAGCGAAGAAGGCCUUCGGAUUGUAAACCUCUGUCCUCAGGGACGAUAACGAAGGUAACCGAGGAGGAAGCCCCGGCCAACCUCGUGCCAGGAGCCGGGGGAAAUCGUAGGGAGCCAGCGUUGUCCGGAAUUAACGGGUGUUAAGGGUGCGUAGGCGGCCCUGUAAGUCAAGUGUGGAAACGAUAGGCCUAACCCGUAGUUAGCAUUUGAAACUGUGGGGCUUGAGUGCAGUAGAGGCGAGCGGAAUUCCCGGUGUAGCGGUGAAAUGCGUAGAGAUCGGGAAGAACACCAGUGGCGAAGGCGGCCUGCUGGACUGUAACUGACGCUGAGGCACGAAAGCGUGGGUAGCGAACAGGAUUAGAUACCCCUGUAGUC